AUUAUUGAUAGGGCAGGUGCAGAUUAUGUUCAUAUUGAUGUUAUGGAUGGAUCAUAUGUUCCAAGCAUAUCAUUGGGG
This 78-nucleotide transfer RNA is filed under the name Clostridium butyricum. RNAcentral describes it as "tRNA-Ile". Lineage: Bacteria; Bacillati; Bacillota; Clostridia; Eubacteriales; Clostridiaceae. The record is from RNAcentral.